UACGUAGGGUCCAAGCGUUAAUCGGAAUUACUGGGCGUAAAGCGUGCGCAGGCGGUUCGUUAAGUCAGCUGUGAAAGCCCCCGGCUCAACUGGGGAGGGUCACGCGAUACUGAUCGACUCGAAGGCAGGAGAGGGUAGUGGAAUUCCCGGUGUAGUGGUGAAAUGCGUAGAUAUCGGGAGGAACACCAGUGGCGAAGGCGACUACCUGGCCUGUUUCUUGACGCUGAGGCGCGAAAGCUAGGGGAGCAAACGGG
Molecule: ribosomal RNA, 254 nt
Filed under: uncultured bacterium
Lineage: Bacteria
Description: partial 16S ribosomal RNA
Rfam family: Bacterial small subunit ribosomal RNA
Source: RNAcentral